GACGAACGCUGGCGGCGUGCUUAACACAUGCAAGUCGAACGGAAAGGCCCUGCUUUUGUGGGGUGCUCGAUUGGCGAACGGGUGAGUAACACGUGAGUAACCUGCCCUUGACUUUGGGAUAACUUCAGGAAACUGGGGCUAAUACCGGAUAGGAGCUCCUGCUGCAUGGUGGGGGUUGGAAAGUUUCGGCGGUUGGGGAUGGACUCGCGGCUUAUCAGCUUGUUGGUGGGGUAGUGGCUUACCAAGGCUUUGACGGGUAGCCGGCCUGAGAGGGUGACCGGCCACAUUGGGACUGAGAUACGGCCCAGAAUCCUACGGGAGGCAGCAGUGGGGAAUAUUGCACAAUGGGCGGAAGCCUGAUGCAGCAACGCCGCGUGCGGGAUGACGGCCUUCGGGUUGUAAACCGCUUUGGCCUGUGACGAAGCGUGAGUGACGGUAAUGGGUAAAGAAGCACCGGCUAACUACGUG
RNAcentral lists this ribosomal RNA (468 nucleotides) under uncultured bacterium. RNAcentral describes it as "partial 16S ribosomal RNA". It matches the Rfam family "Bacterial small subunit ribosomal RNA", at positions 28 to 507 of the family's 1533-position model. The record is from RNAcentral.